RNAcentral lists this ribosomal RNA (253 nucleotides) under uncultured bacterium. Its description in RNAcentral is "partial 16S ribosomal RNA". It matches the Rfam family "Bacterial small subunit ribosomal RNA", at positions 524 to 776 of the family's 1533-position model. The record is from RNAcentral.
UACGUAGGGGUCAAGCGUUGUCCGGAUUUACUGGGCGUAAAGAGCGUGUAGGCGGCCAGGCAGGUCUGUUGUGAAAACUGGAGGCUCAACUUCCAGACGUCGACAGAAACCGCUUGGCUAGAGUCCGGAAGAGGAGAGUGGAAUUCCUGGUGUAGCGGUGAAAUGCGCAGAUAUCAGGAAGAACACCGAUGGCGAAGGCAGCUCUCUGGGACGGUACUGACGCUGAGACGCGAAAGCGUGGGGAGCGAACAGG